UGGAAAUGGAAGUAUAUGGCUAUAUAUAGG
This 30-nucleotide non-coding RNA is filed under the name Rattus norvegicus (Norway rat). The record is from RNAcentral. Lineage: Eukaryota; Metazoa; Chordata; Mammalia; Rodentia; Muridae.